This 450-nucleotide ribosomal RNA is filed under the name uncultured bacterium. RNAcentral's name for it is "partial 16S ribosomal RNA". It matches the Rfam family "Bacterial small subunit ribosomal RNA", at positions 354 to 796 of the family's 1533-position model. The record is from RNAcentral.
GUGGGGAAUAUUGGACAAUGGGCGAAAGCCUGAUCCAGCCAUGCCGCGUGUGUGAAGAAGGUCUUCGGAUUGUAAAGCACUUUAAGUUGGGAGGAAGGGCAGUAAGUUAAUACCUUGCUGUUUUGACGUUACCGACAGAAUAAGCACCGGCUAACUUCGUGCCAGCAGCCGCGGUAAUACGAAGGGUGCAAGCGUUAAUCGGAAUUACUGGGCGUAAAGCGCGCGUAGGUGGUUUUGUAAGUUGGAGGUGAAAUCCCCGAGCUCAACCUGGGAACUGCCUCCAAAACUGCAUGACUAGAGUACGGUAGAGGGUAGUGGAAUUUCCUGUGUAGCGGUGAAAUGCGUAGAUAUAGGAAGGAACACCAGUGGCGAAGGCGACUACCUGGACUGAUACUGACACUGAGGUGCGAAAGCAUGGGGAGCAAACAGGAUUAGAUACCCCAGUAGUCC